ACAUGGAGGAGCCCAAUCCAAGGCAAGACACAGGUUCAGGCUUUACCACAGUCACAAAGGCUGCUUCUUGUUUUUGUUUUUAGCAGAAGGUAAGCAUGAGCAAAUUACUUUUUAGAGGUAACUUUGCUGAACUUGUGAAGAAUGGUGUGCAAGGUCCAGAGCGACUGCAGGAGAGGGAAGGUGGGAUUCCCACAGAGCAGGAGCACAGAUAAGCCAAGCAAGGCCCUGCUUGGAAGGCAGCAAUCAACAGAGAUGCACAGACCUGUGAGGGUGCCGGGACAGCCAUGCAACAAUGCAGCCCUUUUGCUUCCUGAGCUCACCAGUUCCCUCGCUCCACCUCUGAGAGGUGGUUUGGAGAAACACAGCCCUUCUCAAGAGGGCUGCAAGCUACUUAAGUCCUGAAAAUUUCCACAAGGCUGAGUCAAAUCUGCGUUUCAUCAUCUAUAAGAAAGGUACCUAUCGAGAACACCCUGCUGGCCAGUGUGUAAAUAUCUAAAGGAGGACUCAGAAAACACCGGGGAAGUCCAGCCUGCACGUGGUGGCUGGGCUUCAGUGAAGCAUGCAGCACAACAGGAGUUGUAAGUAGUAGUUACAUCAGCAGCCCUGGAAAUUCUGCUCAGAACCAAACUGAACAAAUAACAUUAUCUAAGGCUUACAAUUAUUUAACUCCCUAAAUUUUCUGUCCUCCCAGUAGCACUUUCAAAUGCCUAAAAGCAAUUAAAAGAAACAUUUUUCCAAUGUCUCACAGAACCAUUAGAAACACAAAAUUAAUAGCUUCAUAAACUAUAGCUUCUAUUUUAUCCAUAAUAGAAUGAAGGUGCAUAAACCACAUAGUAAUUAAUCUUUGGACAAAAGCAAACAAUAAAUGGAAUAUAUGGCUAAGAUCCUUUCUUUUUGAGUGUGGCCCAAGAUAAAAAUUUCUUCCAAAAGGGUAACAUUAAUGCAAUAAGGCUUUUGUGGAAUUCUAUUUUGUACGAAAUUCCUGUUUUCUAUUAGCUACUUCUUCCUCUGUGACACAAGCCUCAUUCCUUGUGAAAAACACGAAGCAGAAAACAUUCGUGAAAUCAUCAGGUAAAGAUCCCAUGACCGUUCUAUCACUGACACAGUAUGUAGGUACAUGGUACAACCCCCAAGGGACCACCUUGUGGCAUCCUCAGCAACCACAGAGCCACAGGGCAGAUGAGUGUUUGCUCCCACUGAGGCUCUGCAACCUCUGCCACCAAUACUGGAGAAAUCCUCCAACCUCACUGUUUUCUCCUGAACUUGUUCCCUUCUGUUUUUCGAUUAAUACACAGCAAACAGGCACACCUUCAAGCUGCCAAAAGCAUCUUAAACGUUGUACACUUACAAUCUUCAAAAUAUAGUUGUUCAAAAGAGUCAUCAAAGUAGUUUUUGAAAUAGAACACUUACUUUGACCACAUAAUUGAACCUUCGGAUAUCUUGAAUUGCACUUGAGAAGUCUAACCGAUUAAAGGCUUCUCCCAAGGUGCAAUAGCCAUGCCUCUGGAAGAGCAACACAGAAUUUAAAAUUAGUCAAUUAGCCAAAAAGAAUUGGCAGUUAAUGUCAAUUAAUUGUGCGAUUAAAAAAAUUUUUGGCAAAGGACAAUUUGUUUUUAUUUUGAAGACUGAUUUUAGAUUUAGAUGAGAGUAUAGUAAAAUUGUAGCAAUGCUAAUAAUUUAAGCUGUUUAUGUAUACCUGAGACACCAUUAACUGACAUUUUUUACAACCUGCUGAAGUAAUGACAAAGACAAAUAUUUAUUAAAUAUCUUGCUGGUUUGUUUUGUUGGGGACAAACUGGGGUGUGGACGAUGUUAAAGCUAAGAUCAUAAAAAAACUGGAUUCAUUCUAGGCUACGCAACUAAAAAUACAUAAAUCAUCUGAUUAACUGCAUUGUAAGGAUGUAGGUGUUACAAAUAUCUAGUUGAAACACAGGAUUUCUCUGCAGGGGAGGCAUGCACUGCCCGAGUUUGAAGUGUAACAUGGGAUUUCUCUCCAGAGCAGCCAUGCACUGCCCAGGCUGGAAGUAUGCUCAACCACAAGGGUCAGGGCUGGGAGAGGCGCUUCGGUAGCAAGAAGGUGCCUCUGAAAACCAGCAUUGGGAUGGAGAGGGCUGAAGGCAAGUGCUGGAUGUGACCACGGGCAGCUUUCAGGCUGGGAGCACGGAUGCCAAGAACCCAAAACACCAAAAAAA
Homo sapiens (human) is the source of this 2192-nucleotide long non-coding RNA. Ensembl annotates it as long intergenic non-protein coding RNA 1409. NCBI's taxonomy places the organism in Eukaryota, Metazoa, Chordata, Mammalia, Primates, Hominidae. The record is from Ensembl.